This 8169-nucleotide unclassified non-coding RNA is filed under the name Haliotis rubra (blacklip abalone). RNAcentral describes it as "sH2 domain-containing adapter protein D-like, transcript variant X1". The record is from RNAcentral. Lineage: Eukaryota; Metazoa; Mollusca; Gastropoda; Lepetellida; Haliotidae.
CAGACAGGAAGAUCGGUUGCGAGGGAACGGGCUCUAUCUCCGCCCUUCUCACAAACGACUGGCUACCUUGGGCUAAAUCAUCCCAGCGGAGCCAUACGGGAAGAAUUUUACUCAGAUGUAUACACGCUUGAGCAACAGAAAUCCCAAUCAGCGCCGAAAUUUCACAGUGACAGUUCCUUCGGAAAGUGGCCUCCCGACAGAGUCUGGGCACAAGACAAUGUUCGAGACAAACAUCACUUGUAUGAUGAAAUUAAGGAAGAUGCUCCUAACAGUGACAGUCUCCACGAUUACGAGCUAGCGAAGGACAUGGGCGCCAGCCAGUCAAAAUCUUAUUCUCUUGUAAAGGAAAAUGGCCCCGUUCGGAACAUUCGCACGAUAUCAGGUAACAGAAACAAGGACAACCGCCCUCCGGCGAAAGUCCCCAUCGUGAUAAAGAAAAAUAGCGCAACCGUGUUGAGUAAUAAUAAUGACAUCGAAAAAAACCGCCUGGGGAUGAAGAAGGAUAUUCGAUGGCUUAUCAGAAGGAUGCGCUACCAACCAGGGUGCGUCUUGGUGACUACACUCAGCCCGUGGAUGCUACCAACUUUACGUGGGGUCGGAACGACGAAUAUUGCGAACCCUACGUUGCAGAUCAGCUUAUCAAAGAGGCAGCUAAAAAGAGACAGUCAGACAACAAAGUGUCAGACAACAUGGACGUCAAUUCAGAAAGUACAGAUUAUAAUCGAAUCAACAGAAAGAUGGCUGUAAAAACACCCAGAGAAAGUGGUCAGACCAACCCCAACUCAUCGUCUGCUGUUGGCGGCGAUGGUUAUGACCAUGCCACUAGCUGGACAAGUAUUGCAAAGAGUUCCGAUUCGAGCCAUGAUACAUAUGAAGAACCGUGGGAUUCACGCACAAGACAGAGAGAUUUACAAAGUAAGCUGAAUAGAGCUCAAAGUGAAGAAAUUCCAAAACAGCUUCCAUAUCCUGACUCGAGACGAAUGUCUCAAGAUCCACCAGCCAUGCGACGUAAACCACAACCAUCGGACAUGUACGAAGAUGCAUGGGACUCUCCGUUUAAGCAAAAACUUUUAGAGGAGAAGUUGAAUGCUGCUAAGAGAGGUGGCGGGGCUGCUUCAAGGUCCCCUACUUCCCCCCUCCCCUCUUCCCUGCCCUCCACCUACGAGGAACCAUGGGAUAUCAAGAAGAGACAGAUGGAACUGGAGGGGAGGUUAGAAGCAACUCACAUCCACAAAUCCCCCAUUGGAACCCCCAUUAGUCCCUCGCGCCGUAGUCCCCAGCCCCGCAGUCCACAGCCCCGUAGUCCACAGCCCCGUCCCGGACUGGAUACUUACGAAGAGGCCUGGGACCUCAAGACAGGGGCCAAGGCAGUCAGCUUUCUCAGAAGCAAUUCCCAGCAAGACCGAGACCUGGCUCCCAGCUCCCCCCAGUCUCCUAACUCUGGCUCCCCAACCUACAAGCAGGUGCCCCGUAUCACCAUCCCAGCCACAGCCUGCACCAUAGGGGAGAGAAUCAACCCCAUCAUUCCCUUACAAAAGCAGAGCUGGUACCAAGGUCGUAUUUCCCGAGCUGAUGCUGAGAACACGUUGCGUGUCUGCAAGGAGGGGAGCUACCUGGUGCGAGAGUCCGAGUCCGAGAGGGGCCAGUACUCUCUCUCCAUCAAGAGCCGUUUAAUGAAUAUCCACCUGAGGAUUACCAAGCGUUCAAACGGGCAGUUUAUUCUUGGGGAAAACAGUGCAUUAUUUGAUACGAUCCCAGAAAUGAUUGAUUAUUACACCCAGCACCAGGUCCCACUCAAGGGGACACAGCAUCUCACGCUUCUGCACCCUGUGGAGCUUCACUAACAUGUGAGGCUACACUGAGGUGUGAGGCUGGACUAAGGUGUGAGGCUGGACUAUGGUGUGACACUGGACUAAGGUGUGACUAUGAUGUGGAGCUAGAUUGAGAUGCCAAGCACCUGUAAGGGACAGAGGAUGUCACGCUUAUGCCACCUGUGGAGAUCCACCAUAUGUGGAGACCUUGAAAGGUUACAGAGGGACAGAGCACCUCAGGUUUUGCACCCACUGAGCUCCACCAUAUGUGGAGACCUUGAAAGGUUACAGAGGGACAGAGCACCUCAGGUUUGGCACCCUUGAAGCUCCACUAAAGUGCUGAGCCAGGCUACACCUUAGUUACAAUGUUCACAGCGUUGACAGGAUGUGUGAUGAGAGAACACGGACUACAGUGAUCGAUGUGAAUGUGCUGGAGAGAUUGAAACUAUUAGAGAUCUGAGAAUAGCUGACACCUGAUUUCCAUCUGAUAAUGACAUCGGAUGUAAAAUUAUAGACACAGUGGUAUAGUCUUAAUAUGAUACAAACUGUGAUAAAGUUGAAGCAAGAUGACACACUGAUUAAUACUUUUGAAGAAAGAUUACAGUGUGAUUAAAACUACUGAAGAAAGGUGACGUGAUGAAGACUAUUAUAGAAAGAUGACACUUUGACUAAAAGUAUUGAAGAAAAAUGACAAUGUGAAGAAACUAUUAAAGAAAGAUGACAGUGUGGAAAAGAAAAUUGAAGAAAGAUAACAGAUGUUGAAGGAAGAUGAUACAGUGUUGAAAGAUAAUAUAGCAUAAUCAUAAUAUUACGACGAAUAGUGUUGAGAACAUCGAGAUAUCUUGUUUAGAAUCGACUUCCUAGAUGGCAUGAGAAUUUGAAAAAAAAAGUUUGCAAUUAAUGUGUUUCUCUGUUAUUAUGAAACCGUGCUUAUCCUGUAACACUCACUGUCGUAGAGACACUGCUUGAAUAAGUUAAUAUGUGCACGUCUCAUAACACUGUUCUUAAAUCAUGUAUACUCAACAAAAAUAGUUAGGGAUAAUGCAUAUUUAUGGUACAAUUAUUUGUUGUGUAGACUGUCAUAAGAAUGACCCCCAAACUGUUGAUGGUCCUCAAACUAUUUUUUUGCCCAGUAUAGAUAGCACAUUUGACUGUAGAUGAAACUUUCAUGGGAACUGUCAAAUCUGUCCUUUGAAUUCUACACUUGUUUUCUUUAAUUGUUGUUAAGCAGUAUUACAGACCAUGGCAUUCAGUUUCCUUAGAGUACCAGAAAAUAUGCUAACUUGUUUACAUAUCAUUAGCUUGUUGAAAUGUAAGUAGUUAUUUUUGUUAUUGCACACCAGAUAUUACAGAAUUUGGCUACGCUUAGGAACCGGUCAUUAUUUUUCUUAGCAAGUAACUCAACAAAAUAUGUUGGUUAUUGCUCUCCAGAACCAACAGCCAUGGUGAGCUAUUAUAGAAUUUGGCUUCGGGACCAGUCAUGUGUGGCAAGAGACUGGGAGGGUGGGGGUAUGAGGGUUUUGACAAACAGAAAAUAUUGACCCUCUCAUAUUUGUCAAUGAUCAUCCCCAUGUCAUGUACAUUUGUGACCUUCCUUAAAAAGAAAAAAAACAACAUUUUUCUUUGAGGGCAAAGUUGUUGAUUGGCCCACACAAAAUUAGGGUUGGGUAUUACCAAAAUUUUCAUAUUGCGAUAUAUAUUGUGGCAUGUGUCAGCGUAUUGCAAUAUGUAUUCCAAUGUAUUGUGAAUGUGUAACAGAUGGUUGAAGGUGAUGAAAUUAUUGUUUCCUUACGAUGCCACUGGCCACUGUCAGGACUCAGAUGUGAUUGUACAAGAGAUCAAUUGAAAAUGUUUCCAAAUAGAAGACUUCGCUCUAAAGUUUUGAACUGGAGAAAAAACGUCUGCAGUGGCAUCCGCCAUUUUGGUUUCUUUAUCAAUACAAUGAGUACAAUUUAUUUAUUUAUAUGGUUUAAAAGUCAUGCAAAUGCAAUUAUAUGACCACUAAACAUUCUCCAAACUGUUAAUGUAUAAUAAUAUAAAUGAAAUACAUGUUAUUAGUAUUUUUGACUACAUCAUGAAAAUUACCGAUCAUGGUCACGGAAACUGCCAAUCGUAUCGGGUGAACCGGUUCACGAAAAGUACCGCAAUAUAUCGUAUUGGGCAGUUUGAAUUGCAAUAUACUGGUUAACCAGUAUUAUCGCCCACCCCUACACAAAAUAUGGCAAUACAGUAUAGGUACUAAGGUUGCAAUGUUUCAUGCCAAGUCCCUUGAUUCAGUAGCUAAGCCUUCAGCCGACGUUUCAUCAGCAACGGAAGAGUUGUUUGUUUUACCUUCACUCAAUGUGAUGUUGUAUAAUUGGGUGUGCAAUACCUCAUAAUUGAGGUGUAUUGACAAAGCAAUCCUGAGAUUAUCAUUAGAUCAUAGGUGUUCGGACAUCACACAUUUAGACAGCAUCGUCAAACAGCAUUGUUUACUCACACUAUAAAGGGGGAUGUUGUGUCACACAGACAUUGUAAAAUAUUUGUGUUUGAGAUAUUAUAUAGGAGACGUUUUACAGUUGUUCAUAUCAAUAGCAAGAUAACAACGAGUGUUUCUUCAGCAUCCGAAAACCAAUGAUAUCCACUACUUAGUGCAUCUGUAUGAUGUCCAUGCCAAUAAACAUUCUUUGGUGAAAAACAGUUCAGGUUCAAGCCUAAAAAUUGAUGUAUGUGAUAUUUAUUACCAAUACCUUGUUUGAGAGUUAGCUAGCUUGCUUUAGAAAUAUUCUUCUACCUGCACUUGUCUUGCUACUGAUUCACUUGUAAAGGUUUACAAUUGUACAUUUUGAAAAAAAUAUAAUCAUAAUAUAUUUCCUGACAACUGUCUAUUGAUUAAUGUAAAUUCCUAUCUCAUCUGAUAGUGUCCAUUUCAGGCUUGGUACGUCCUCUCUAUUUGCAAUGUCCACUAAUGUGUUUAACUUUCACAAGUAUAUCUCCUGUCUCAAGCAAUGUUUGAAUUUGUGAAUUUAGAUCAGGAAUGUAGCAAUGAAUGAUUGAUGUUGAUAUCUGAGAGCUUCAACAAUAAAUAUAUGUAAAAUAUCGAGAAGGGCAGAGGGGUAGCCUAGUGGUUAAAGCUUUUGCUCGUCACACCGAAGACCUGGGUUCAAUUCCCCAUAUGGGUACAAUGUGUGAAGCCCUUUUCUGGUGUUCCCCGCUGUAAUAUUGCUGGAAUAUUACUAAGAGCGGCGUAAAACUAAACUUUUAAAUAACAAGAAUACAUUGGAUUUUAUGUAUUGAGAUACAGUGGCAAUACAAUUUUCGCAAGUCUUCCAAAUUGAAACCCAAUGUUACGGCUGUAGCAAACUGUAUGUUACCAUAGUUACUGUCUGUGUAACGAUGCCUUUAACCAUGUUGUAUGAGCCGGCAAUAUUUUUCAUCUCGGCCUCAAAAUCAUCGGACUACCAGAAAUGGACAUGCAAUAGUGGAGAGGAAGUGGUUAUAAUGCUUAAAUAUUUUACUUAAACUGUACCAUUUAUACUAUACUAACAUGUACAUGUGUGAUGACCCUUGCCUUGCUUCUAUGUGGUACUACUGUGUGUUAAGUGUAAUGGGACUUCCACUGCUGCAGUUAUUUAAACACAUUCCAAUGUAUGGCUGUUGUGGGGUAAUUGCUUCAAGGGAGACAACUCUCUUAUGCAUGAAUGUUAACUGGUGUACAUUUGUGUAUUGUCAUGGGUUUUUUCCAUACACUAGUGCUUUUAAGCUGAAAUAUAUUUAAUAUUUUGAAACAUGAGUUCAGCUGUUUUAUCUAACAGUUAUUACCGAAUUUAUCAUUGCAAUGAUGUUCAUUUUUAGAGUCAUUAUCAUCAUAAUGUCGUUUUUAUAAUAUCAACCUAAAAACUAUGGCUGUUUAUUACAGAAUAUUUGUGCUGAAAAUCAAACUUGAGUAUGUUGCCACGAUAGCGAACAUUAUAUGAUGAUGUUACAUGAAAAAUAUUAUAUUUGAAUAUGACAAUAUUUGUGCAUGUUUUAUGGAGUUGUUCAAGAAGAUAUUCAAUGGUGCUUUUACACUGUUACGGAGUAAAUAUGAUGCUGUCAUACCAAUCCAAAGUAUGUUCUCUGUGAGCUUCAGUCCUGUGUAUAUGGUGCACGUCCCUUGUAGGACCGAAACAUCUAGAACAUGGAUUUUCAUGCCUUAUAUGUGUUUAAUGACCAAAUACUAUAUUUAUCUGAAUGAUACGGAAACUUGUUAUUUUAUGUGAAUAAAUGGAACUAUUUUCAGUCUGCUUCAUUUAUUCUGUAAUAUUCAGACUAAAUCAGGUAGAAAAUACAUGAUAGAUUUGAUAGCAGAAUAUGUUUAUCUCGAUUUUGUGACCUGAAAAAGUUUAAAUAAACUUAAAAUCUUAAAAUAAGAACAAAAAUUCAGGUCAUGUGAUGAGAUGAACCUUAUUUGACAGGAGAUGAUGAUAUUGUCUGGAAGUAUGAUGUACAGAUAUGUUAUUUUGAUGGUCUUGCAUGUUUAUAUAGUACUCAAAGUAAAGGUAUAUAAUUUGCUGCCUUUCUGUGUGUAUGUAUUCGGUAGUUGAGCACAAGGACAAGUUCUUUGCAUGCAUGAUGAAGCAGGAACGACAUUAUCAAAUAUGAAAAUUCAAAAUAAUUUAUGAAUCAAGCAGUAUUUUCAUAGGCAUUACUUUUACACAGGCAGAUCUUUUUUAAACAGGAGAGGGGGGUAUAUCAUGUCUUAGGGUAGUCUAGUUGUUGAAGUGUUUGCUUAACACUCCGUGGACUAAGUUUAAUUCUCCCGUGGGGAGGAUGUGUAAAACUCAUAAUUGGAUUCCUUCACCAUGAGUUUACUUGAAUAUUGCUGUGAGCCAAUUCACACUACACUUAGAGUGCAUAUCACUUUAUGUCACCAUUUGACAAUGAUGCUCCUUCUAAAUGGGCGACACACAUACUUGUGAGUACUUGAAAAGUGCUGGAAAUGUUUGGUGUUAGGGUUUCUCGAAAAUCUUCUAGAUCUGAUACGGGAGAGAAUGUAUGACAACCAUUUCACAUAUCUGAGAAUAUGAAGCAGCUUGAUUUGUUUUCCACCAAACUGGACAUUUAUUUAGUUCUAAGAAUAUUGUCAUUACUGCCUAGCAGGUAGGGAAGUUUGUUAAACAGACAAAAACUUCUGCCAUUGUUGAGUUAUUCUCUUGUGCAUAAUGAGGGGGCAGAUGACUGAAGUCAUCACAUACACCGAAGUACAAUGUACAGAGGUUGCUUUCCUUUGGCUUGCCAGAAACCUACAAUCAUUAUCACAGUCCCAUUUUUCCAUGGUUUCAGGUUUGUAAGCCCCAUAGCCAAGAUGUUGGGUUUCACAAGAGUGAGUGAGUGAGUUUAACUUUAUGCUGCACUCAUCAAUAUUCCAGCUAUAUGGCAGGGUCUGUAAAUAAUCAUACAGAGUUACAUCCCUUUGGCACACCAGGAUGGUGGGUUCGAAUCUCAGUUAACCCCAGUUAUGUGUCUAGGUUAGUCAGCACCAUUCCUGUGGCUUUCACCAAAGUGGUAAAUAUUCGAGACCUUCAGCCCUACGAGAUUUCCUCCCACCUAACUCUGACAUACCUUGACAUAACUGGAGACUUGUGAAGAUCUGGCUUAGAAUUAGAACCCAUGCUUGUCAAAAGAGGCGACUAAGGAGUUCGGGUGGUCAGGCUUGCUGACAUCAUUAAUGAAUGUCAGUUACGUAGAUUGAAGCUCACGUUAAUCAUUGGAUUGUCUGGUCCAGACUCGAUUAUUUACAGACCGUAGCCGUCUAGCUGGAAUAUUGCUGAGUCUGGCAUUUAACAAGCAAAACAAAUGAUGUAACUAGAAUACUGUUUAUAUCAGCAUUGAACCUCACUCACUCACUCUGACAAGAACCCUAACUGAAGAAUAACUGUUAAAUUAAUAAGUUGUAGAUGAGAGCACAGUCAUUAAACAAUGCUAUUUUAGAAAGUGGUCAAAUGUAACAUAUGUUAUGCUUGGGAUUACACUUUCUUUGUAAAGUACAGAUUAUAGUACUGUUUGGGUUCGAAUCCCGAAUGGCACCAACCCCAAAAGUACUAGAAUCUGUACUUUACUGAGAAAGUAUAAUCCCAAGCAUAACAUAUGUUAUGAGAGAACAGUCAUGAUAUUAGGUUAUGUUUUGCAGAGAACUCAUUUGUCAUGUUUAUUUCAAUCUUCUUCUCAUCCUUGGUUGCUUUUAUUUUAUUCUUCUGUUCUUUUAGAGCUAUUGCUUGUUACAUGUGCUUAUGUACGUAACUUUUAACCAUAUUCUCAAUGUGUCAAAAUGGUUAUAAACUUUGUCUUCCUUCUUAAGACUGUUAUUGUUUAUAUGAAAUAAAUCAUAUCUCAAAUA